UCUGCAAAAUAACCUAACAUUUCUCAGUAAACUAAAUUAGUCAAAAACGUUGCUAAAAUAGAAGCUAAAUUCUACAUUAACCUGAAAAAACCCUAGUAAAUAAUAAAUUAGCCAAAAAAACAUUAGCAUGUUGCUUAAAUAGAUGUUAAACUCUAAAUUAGCCUAAAAAACAAGUAGAUAGCAAAUUAGUCUAAAAUGUGACCAUAUUGCUAAAAUAUUAGCUAAACUCUAAAUUAGCAUAAAACACUCAGGCCAAAUUAGCCAAAAAAUAGAUAGCUUCUUGCGUGAUUACUGACUGAACUCCAAAGUAGCCUAAAAUUCCUCAGUAAACUAAAUUAGCCAAAAACGUUAGUGUAACCCCAGUAAAGUUAUUUUCUUUCCCUUAACAUUAACUUUAAACGGGGUGUAAUUUUCAGUUUCUCCACCUGUGGCAGUAGACAUUUUAGACGAUGUUUUUUUUAAUUUGUUCGGAGUGAUCAUCCCGUCAUUGUAUUGAUCUUUGACGCUUUUCCUCAUGAGCGAGAAGCAGCGAGUGAAAGGGAGAAAAAAGACCCGAGCGAGGUGAAAAGUGUGAAAUUGUAGUUUAUUAAACCAGUAUUUGAGCUAAGUUUGACAAAAAUAAAUAAAUAAAAAAAAAAACUAAUUUCCAACACUUAGUGGGAAGAAGAUAAAUCUGGAGAAAACCAAGGGUGGAGUUUGAAAGUUGUGGAAAAGUUCGUUAUCUCGGUGAGUGGUAACCGCAUUUUGUGUUAUAUAAUGCCAGUAAAUUGUAUCGACUGAUUAAAACAAGAGGGAAAAUGGAAACUUAAUGUUAUAAAAAAAACAGUUGAGGUAACUAAGGAAAUAUGUGAAUAAUAUACAGUAUGUUUUUUUUGUUGAAGUUUCAUUUGUGAAGUCUCCUCAGUUCACCACGUGUUGCAGGCUAAAUACCCUGUAAGCUAGUUUUGACUUGUCGGUUUUUUUGCAUGUUAUUUAAUUUUAUUGUGUAUUUUGAGUGUAACUUUCUGAAAAGGAAAAGACCAUGAAACAAUUGAACUAAUGUUAAAAGGUUACUAUGGGCAAUAUUUAAUUAUUUUCUGCACAUUUGUGUAGACUGUUUUUUUUUAUUGGAGUUCACCUGGAUCCCGGCCUUCAUCUUUUCAUCUCAUCUACCAUCAUCAUCCCAUCAUCUUCUCAUCUCUAAUCCCCUCAUCUCAUCUCUCAUCACCACCUUCUGGAAAUCUCGGGUCUACGCCCUCUUCACCUGAGAGUGUAUGGGAUAGGCUCCAGCAACCCUGUGAUUUGUGUGAUUCAGAUAUUCCUGACGCAAGACGGUACGGAAAGAUCAAUCUCUCUUCCAAGGACACAGCUGAGCCUUGCAGAAGGGAUUCUGAAACCUACUCACUCUUGAAGACAGGGAGGGGGAGAAAUAAACGUGCAAAAAAGAGCCCAUUUGUGAGGAGAUAUUCCCAACUGAAGUCUUCAGGGAAACUGAAACUCUUCUUCCUGGAUCAGCUAAGUUAUCAUCACAGCAUAACAAAUGCAUUCACAGGAAUCAGGGAGGAGAGCUCCUGAAGGUCAGACGAGUGUUUGUUUGAAUGAUGAAUUGUCAACAAUCCUGGUCCGAGCUGAGGCUGUUUUUAACUGAAGUGUGGAAACUGCCUCCUCCAUAAUUUAUGUCUUAAUUGGUUUCAUCUGAACUCUUGUUCAGCCCUUUGCCUUGACAGCCCUCGGAGCAGGGAGGAAAAUUCGGUGGCUGUAAGUUUGAUUUGAAUUGAGGCUAAAAUGUUCAUUUAAAUGUAUAAAGUGUAAGAAAAAAAUGAGGAUAAGAAUUUAUAAGAGACAGGGAUUUAUAGAACAUUAGCUUUAUUUAUAAUUAUUUGAUCCUAAUUUAACUUUUUAAUUCUGAUGCAAAAAAAUGAAUGGAUGUAAACAGCAGAUUUUUUGCUCUUAUGCAAACUAAAUAAAAAUGCAUU
This is a long non-coding RNA of Oryzias melastigma (Indian medaka), 1955 nucleotides long. RefSeq lists it as uncharacterized. NCBI's taxonomy places the organism in Eukaryota, Metazoa, Chordata, Actinopteri, Beloniformes, Adrianichthyidae. The record is from RefSeq and is a predicted model, not a curated record. The transcript has 4 exons.